Molecule: transfer RNA, 68 nt
Filed under: Marmota monax (woodchuck)
Lineage: Eukaryota; Metazoa; Chordata; Mammalia; Rodentia; Sciuridae
Description: tRNA.Ala
Source: RNAcentral
GGAUUGUGGCUCAGUGGUAGAACGCUCGCCUAGCAAGUGCAGGGCCCUGGGUUCGAUCCUCAGCACCA